CAGAUUUUUGCAUCUUUAGUUGGAACCUUAACUUAGUCCUCUCCAUCGCACCGCCUUUCUGUUCAAUGGGGAUGUCUUCUUUUCUGAUUACCUUUUUUUAUUUAAAGCUUAAUUUGAUUUUUGCAUCUUUAGUUGGAACCUUAACUUAGUCCUCUCCAUCGCACCGCCUUUCUGUUCAAUGGGGAUGUCUUCUUUUCUGAUUAUCUUUUUUUAUUUACAGCUUAACUUGAUUUUUGCAUCUUUAGUUGGAACCUUAACUUAGUCCUCUCCAUCGCACCGCCUUUCUGUUCAAUGGGGAUGUCUUCUUUUCUGAUUAUCUUUUU
This 323-nucleotide small RNA is filed under the name Drosophila ananassae. RNAcentral's name for it is "GF26801". The record is from RNAcentral. Lineage: Eukaryota; Metazoa; Arthropoda; Insecta; Diptera; Drosophilidae.